Dasypus novemcinctus (nine-banded armadillo) is the source of this 130-nucleotide unclassified non-coding RNA. Lineage: Eukaryota; Metazoa; Chordata; Mammalia; Cingulata; Dasypodidae. The record is from Ensembl.
ACUUCUCCACCCCACUCGCCACCCACCUUUCUCCUCUUCCGAUUUCAGCCACUCUUAAUUCCGGGAGUUGGGAACCUAAGCUUUGAAAACUCCCAUGUGGUCCUUGUCCUAAAUUGGGGCAUUCUCAGUA